GAUGAACGCUGGCGGCGUGCCUAAUACAUGCAAGUCGAGCGAACAGACGAGGAGCUUGCUCCUCUGACGUUAGCGGCGGACGGGUGAGUAACACGUGGAUAACCUACCUAUAAGACUGGGAUAACUUCGGGAAACCGGAGCUAAUACCGGAUAAUAUAUUGAACCGCAUGGUUCAAUAGUGAAAGACGGUUUUGCUGUCACUUAUCGAUGGAUCCGCGCCGCAUUAGCUAGUUGGUAAGGUAGCGGCUUACCAAGGCAACGAUGCGUAGCCGACCUGAGAGGGUGAUCGGCCACACUGGAACUGAGACACGGUCCAGACUCCUACGGGAGGCAGCAGUAGGGAAUCUUCCGCAAUGGGCGAAAGCCUGACGGAGCAACGCCGCGUGAGUGAUGAAGGUCUUCGGAUCGUAAAACUCUGUUAUUAGGGAAGAACAAAUGUGUAAGUAACUAUGCACGUCUUGACGGUACCUAAUCAGAAAGCCACGGCUAACUACGUG
This 497-nucleotide ribosomal RNA is filed under the name uncultured bacterium. RNAcentral describes it as "partial 16S ribosomal RNA". It matches the Rfam family "Bacterial small subunit ribosomal RNA", at positions 28 to 507 of the family's 1533-position model. The record is from RNAcentral.